This 369-nucleotide ribosomal RNA is filed under the name Polysiphonia sp. RNAcentral's name for it is "bacterial LSU rRNA". It matches the Rfam family "Bacterial large subunit ribosomal RNA", at positions 2098 to 2465 of the family's 2925-position model. The record is from RNAcentral. Lineage: Eukaryota; Rhodophyta; Florideophyceae; Ceramiales; Rhodomelaceae.
GCUUUACUGUAGCCUGGAAUUGAAUUUGAGUUUAUUUUGCGCAGUAUAGGUGGGAGGCUAAGAGAUUGUACUUGCGGGUAUAAAGGAGCCUACAGUGAGAUACCACUCUAAUUAAACUAGAAUUCUAAUCUUGAUGCCGUUAUCCGGCCAAGAGACAUUUUCUGGUGGGCAGUUUGACUGGGGCGGUCGCCUCCUAAAAGGUAACGGAGGCGUGCAAAGGUUUCCUCAGACUGGUCGGAAAUCAGUCGUAGAGUGUAAAGGCAUAAGGAAGCUUGACUGCAAGACCUACAAGUCGAGCAGAGACGAAAGUCGGCCUUAGUGAUCCGACAGUUCUGAGUGGAAAGGCUGUCGCUCAACGGAUAAAAGUUA